RNAcentral lists this ribosomal RNA (397 nucleotides) under uncultured bacterium. RNAcentral describes it as "partial 16S ribosomal RNA". It matches the Rfam family "Bacterial small subunit ribosomal RNA", at positions 523 to 918 of the family's 1533-position model. The record is from RNAcentral.
AUACGUAGGGGGCGAGCGUUGUCCGGAAUGAUUGGGCGUAAAGGGCGCGUAGGCGGCCCGGUAAGUCUGGAGUGAAAGUCCUGUUUUUAAGAUGGGAAUUGCUUUGGAUACUGUCGGGCUAGAGUGCAGAAGAGGUAAGCGGAAUUCCCAGUGUAGCGGUGAAAUGCGUAGAGAUUGGGAAGAACACCAGUGGCGAAGGCGGCUUACUGGGCUGUAACUGACGCUGAGGCGCGAAAGCGUGGGGAGCGAACAGGAUUAGAUACCCUGGUAGUCCACGCUGUAAACGAUGAAUGCUAGGUGUAGGGGGUAUCGACCCCUCCUGUGCCGGAGUAAACGCAAUAAGCAUUCCGCCUGGGGAGUACGGCCGCAAGGUUGAAACUCAAAGGAAUUGACGGGG